Molecule: long non-coding RNA, 584 nt
Filed under: Marmota monax (woodchuck)
Lineage: Eukaryota; Metazoa; Chordata; Mammalia; Rodentia; Sciuridae
Source: RNAcentral
CCACAGAACUCAUCUGGACAGGCCUCUGGGGGAGAAUUCAAUGUAAUAAUGUUUCAGUGCUUAGUUAUUGCUAAGGAGCAUGCAAAGACUCUCUUAGGAGCUCAUAAGAGGUCGGUACUAUUUAGCUACUGAUUUAACAAUUCCAUCUGAUUGGGAACUUACAAGAUCAAUAAUGUCAAAUCACCUUCCCCAAUACCACUGACUCAAAUACCUAGCAAAACAUGGAUGACAGAUGGCCCCAAUAAUGGCCGUCUGAGUAUUCUAUCACAGAUCAUCCCCCAAAUCCAUGGCAAGGCAAAGCCCUUGCAUGUCACUAAUCCAAACCCGAGUUUUCUUCUGGAAGAUUUGGUCCAGAGAGUGGAACCUGCGUGAAUCCGCCUGCUGGUGAUGUAUUAAUCAGCUUUCUGUUGCUGCAACAAAAUACCUGACAUAGUUAACUUAAAAAGAGAAAAGGUUCAUUGAACUCAGUCUGGGAGGUUCUAGUCCAAGACUGGGGGGGACUAGAACUUUGGGCCUCUGGUGGGGGCACGAGGCAGAGCAGACUGUUCACCUCGUAAGGCAGGAGGCAAGAGAGAGCCAAGAAG